UUGGCUUUAUGGUUUAGGGGUUUUUAAGGUUCACCCUCAGGAAAACGUUUGCUGUAUGAUAUGACAUAAUGCUGAGCUAGUUGUGCUGAAGUUGUAGUAAGCCAAAUGAUCUCAAUUUUCAUUUGUCUGCUGCUUAUUACCUAAUUAUAAAGCCACAACACACCUGGAAUAAAUGAAAACAAGACCCUAUCUUAGAGAUCAAAUGAGGUAAGACUUAUGUGUCCUUAUGAAGUGCAAAAUGAAUCCAAGAAACCGCAGCCAUGAUGUGAAAAGCACAUCGAGUAAACAUGAAUAUCAAUACUGUGGUUGCCUGGGUAAUAUAAGCAGCUGAGGGUUGGAUAAAGUCAUUUCAAAAUAACACCAACCACAAAGGAGAAAUACAGCAUCUGUGUUUGGGUCUUCUUUGGCAUCCUGAAGCAUCACUGCGGCAUAUGCAACAAAUUCCCCCUGCAGCGUGUUGUUGGGUUCACCCCAGGGUUUCAUGAAACUUGAAUGUCUCCUGGAUACCUCAGGAUUUUAAAAAACACCUCACCCAAGUAAAAUAGCUGCUCAUGUUAUACUUCCAGAUGAGCUCUGGGCCCCCUGAAAACCAUUGUGGCCCUCCAUUUUCCAUGAGUCUUAUUUUCUGAUCUGCCAGCUUUUGUAUACAGUUUAUUGGCAGACAUAAUCAGUAGAGCUGGACAGAGAAGAGGUCUGUUAAUUGCACUAAAUUAAACCCUUUUUUAAAAUGAUAAUUAAAACAGGAUCACCUAACAGAGGGAAUAAUAACUGUAUUUUAAUUCAAAAGUGCUAAUGUUUAAUUUCUCUUGUUGUUUAGAAGCCUUUAUGCCUUCCAGCAGACAGCUUAAAUUGUCACAGUGGGAAAAGUACCAGCAGAACUAAUAACAUGAGCAUACGCUAAAUUAAGGCAUGGCAGUUAUUAAUGUUAUUAGUUACACCUUUGUGCUACAAGAUGAAUUGCAAAGGUGUACAAAGGUCUGUUGCAAUAGAACAAAAAAUGAGGAGUCCUUAAUUUAACAGAUAAAGUGAUGCCUUUUAACAGGUGUAAAAAAGCAGAAGUGAUCUGCUGAAUAUCUGAAGUGUUUAAAAGCUGGAAGAGUCAUACAAGGUCAUUUGAAAUUUGUAUUCAGUAAACAGAUUUAAAGCAUUUAGAGGGACACGGCUGAGCUCACAUGGGUUUUGAGGACAGAUUUAUCUGUAUCAUUACCGUUUUGAAGGCAGGAGACACGCUGUCAGAUGAUGUGACCGAGCAAGAGCAUGAAGGAGGAGAAAACAGCACAUUGCUGCUGCUGCUUGUUGCUGCUGCUAUCAGUAUUUUGAAUUUCUGGUCUACCUUUUAUGUCUCUGUGUUUUUAGUGAACAUGUUUUUAACCAGGCUUUUGGUUUCUUCAAGUCCCAUUCUAAUCUUUUUUUUUUUUACUACUUAAAGUGUUCUCAGUGGUCUUUAAAUUGUGAUUAUGAAGUUUUUACCAAAAAUCACGUUACCUGUGUCAUUUUCAAGGGCUUCUCUUCUGCAGAGCUCCAGUAGAUCAUUAGCAAUUCACCUCUGAGUCGUGGGCAGAGACGGCGCUGCUCUGCACACUCGACUUCAAGUUAGCUUGCAGCCUAUCAUUGCCGAUGAAGUUAAAGUGGCAGCUAACAUAGGAGCCAUUCAGCUCUAAGACACUGAAGUCUUUAGGGACAUGAUGAAAGUUAAUAUCAUAAUUGGCUUUCUUACGAGCAUUGCAAUCCUCUCUAUUUCUCCUCUAUAUACAGAGUCCGGCCUGCAUAGCGGGGCUCCGGGGGCGGAGCUUGGAUUGGUUACGUAUGAAAUCUCACUGUUUCUGAACCUGCUGUUUGGGUCUGCCAGAAAUUCACAGAGAUUUCAAUGAAGAAAUACUCAGAAAAGCAAUUUUGCAUUUAGUUUUCUCAUGAUAUGUCCUGUACUACAGAAAAAUGCCAUAUGAACAUAUAAAAAACAAGAAAAAGGCUUUAAGGUCUUUAAGGCUGUACUCCAGGACAGGAGUGAUACAGACUUCUUUUGCUAAGAAUUUGAGGACAUUAUAGAUACAAAAUCUCAUGAUUAUCCGAUUAAAUUUUCAGCAUAUUCAAUUUUUAAAUGUCACACCUUGUAUAUACUAUAAGAAAACAAGUUAGAAGUCAUUUUAGGAUUAGUAAGGUAAAGGAUGAUGUGUGAGAGAAAACGUAAUAAAAACUCCCACAAAAGCCAUCAAACCUUUUAUAACCCUAAGACAUGAAUCUCCUCUGCUGUGGACUGUACUGACUAGAGGGGCCCUCGCUGUUUUGUUUGUGAGUUUAAUGUGUGCUUUGGUUUGUGGAAAGGGGCGUGAUGCCAAUCCUGUGUGCAGCCAGAUUUCUGCUGUCCAUGCUCCGACUCCGAAAUGCAUCAUUAGUGCAUUAUGAUAGGGCCUGCUGAGACGUUGUUUAGGCUUCACUCCUUGACAACCAGGAGAGAUAUAGAUUUGCAGUCAACAAUCUGAACUGAAAAGUGUGCCAGCACACAGCAUGUUGAUAUAGCACAUUAAACGGUGAGUUUUAGAUGUUCUUUUGGACUCCUAGAGUGUAAUUUGCUAUUGGAAACAGGGUGUUAAGCAUCUUAUUUAAUCGAUUCCCCCAGUUUUGUGUCUAUCAGCGCCUUGGUUGUGUACUGUUGAUGCAACCAUCUCUUUAAUAAAACAUUUCCUUUGUAAUCGGUGUUUGGAUGCAGAUAACUUAUUUGCAAUCAAAGUCUUCGUUCCACUUAAACUGUUAUUUAAACAAAAAGAAGAAAAAGCGUAACAGUGAGAUUUUUCGAAUGGAGAUUUGAUUUGACACAGUGUCUCCAGAACAAAAGAUUGCCUCCCAUUUCCUUUUGUGAAUAAUGUAGCAUAUAUUGUGUUUUUCGACAAAGUGACAGCACUUUAUUCUGAGACACAAAGGCACAGGAAAUUGAUAGGUUAAUAGCGUAUAUAUUUGGAAAGUAGAAUUCACACAAGGAAACAAUCAAAGGAGGGCCCGCCUCUGCUGCUCGUCUCUCUGUGAGUCACUUGAGCUUAAUCACUGAUAAUACUGAAUCUAAAAGCAUCAGAAAUGUGUCUGUAAGAGGCAGAGAAAGAACACAGUGUAACCUCUUCUGGUUAAUAUCGAGCCUCAGUGAGUGUCUGACUCCUUCAGUUCAGACCUCCUGCUGUGAGCUUCCUGGUCUCAGUCCUCUGGGAGAGGCUGAACAGUUUAGGGAUCGCCUCUGAACUGACUCGAUACUCAUGAAAUAUUCACGGCAUGUUGGAUUCAUAAUGAAACUAGCAUGUCUUACAUACUAUCAAUCAAAGCUGCUGUUGUUGGAAACAACCACUCGGUAAGCAUCUGUAAUGGCACAUGAAAGCUUGACAGGCUCUCCAUGAGGUAACUGCAGGGCAAAAACAUGUAAAUCACAGGCUCCUCAUUCAUGCUGAUGUCUGGAAAUGUCUUUUUGGCUGUGUAGAAACAGCCUUGCUCAUGUGUCAUUCAUGAAUGAGUUAAAGUAAGAUGACUGAGUUAUAAACAGUUUAUUUUUUUAAAUUUCCUUUUAUUGAUUUUCAUGCAUUUGGAAUCUCUGAAGAUAUCUGGCAAAAGAGUGAGGCCAUGUACUAAGAAGCAGGACUCCAGCAGAGAAACACAUUUCUGUCGAGCAAAGAUACUUCCUAUUUAACAUACAUUUUCCCCAACUGAAAAAUUAUGGCAUCUCGAGCAAGGACAUAUGCAUAGAAAAACAGAAACAUUUAUGCCUUUAAUCUUGAGAUAAAAUACUGCAUAUUUGUUGGUGAUGUUAGAAUAAAUCAAAGUCACAAGCAAGUCUUAAAGAAAACGAAAUGGCUGAUGUUAGACCGUUCCCCUUCGUGCCCUCUUCUAAUUACAAGUUUCAUAAAAGCACUAAAACUGCAUUACCCAUGAUGCACUAUGUGGCCCACAGCAUCAAAUAACUAUGGUCUAUGAAAAUCUGCCAAAAAACAAGAUGACAGCGCUCUUGGCCUUACUUAAAGGGAUAUUCCGACUGCUUGCUUCUCUAGUUACACCAACUUUUAGUAACAAAAUAGCAGUACACAGUGGUCCCAGGAGCCAUGCACUCAACCAAAAAGCCACUCUUUAGCCACAAAUAAUGCUCAGAACUUCAUCAACAGUUCAUAUAGGGUCCCACCCACAGUACUAGCCACCAAACAUCUUUUUAGCUUUGCCUGAUUUUUUUUAACAAAGAGACUAAACCCAACUCACCUACUCUCUUCCAGCAGCCACUUGUUUGUACGGAGACCUCAGGCAGGUCCAUCAUUUGCCUUAGUGGGUCACAAAGAGGCAUCAGUAUUACUUUUAUUCAGUUUCACACCUGCUUCAAAAUUCCUCACAGAAGCUUUAAGGUCAGAUUUUCAAAAUCUCAAAAAGACAUUUAAGAAAUCUGUGACUGACUUUGUAUCAGCAGGUUUUGGGAUGUUAACAACAAGAAAAACAGACUUGAUUUUAUGUCUACGUAGGUAAACUAGAUGCAGUUAAAGGCAUAGUUAAUAAAAGACAACAUGUGGAAUCAUGUCCUCUACAUGAGUGAAUUGUAUGACAUCAAUAAGUUUCAUCAUGCUGUCUUUCAAGAAAUAUAUAUAGUUAUUUGCAGGCUUUUUGCACCUUUGUUUGACAGGGCAAAUAAGAAAUAAGAAAAUAGUGAGGGAAAGUUGGGAUUGGCAUGCAGGGAAGGACUCACAGGCGGGCAUAUGGUGUGCACACCUAGACGGUUAGGCCAGUGGUGCCUCUAUCAUGAUUCUGUCUUUUAACAGUGAAAUGAAUCUCACAUUGUGAGUGUUCACCACAGAGGAAGGGGGAAAAGCCGUUUCUACAGCAUGCUUUAUUAUCUUGUCUGGCACUUACCCCCUAGUAGUGAUAACUUUGAUUAAAAAUUACCUAAUAAAACUGUCAGUUUUGUCUCCGCUGGUCUUGUUUGUUUUUAGGUCAUAAAGCGGCAUCACUGUUCAUUUUAGUCUGUUUAAUAAUCACUCAAACUCCUCACAGGAGCUUUGAAUAAAUAUUUGCUAAAGUCACUGUGCAUGGAAGUAGAUAAACUAAUUGGGAAUAAGUUUUAGCAGCUAAAAAUAAGUUUCAUGCAAGAGUGACUAAAAGUAUGAGCUCAAAAAAUGAACAUCUAAUAAUCAAAACACUUGAAGCUGUGACAGAAGUAAGCAGAGGAAUAUCACGGCUAAAUAAGAGGAGAAUGCUGGCAUCAUUAUAUGGCAGUGUGACUCUGCUGUCAUGGCCUAUCAAGAAUCAUUGUCUUCUAAUUGUGAACAAGACUUAAAAUGAUGUCUCUGCAGUGCAUGGCAGAAAUAUGUCUGUUCUACUUGAAAGUAUGUUUCUUUUUUUUUUUUUUAGUUCUGAAAAAAAACCUCAUCUGUUGUCAUUUCUGAAGUUUGGAUUCUUGCAUUCGCUGUGUGAAAAUGUCAUAUAGAUUGCAGAGCAGCCUUGUUUACUUUUCCCCACAAUCCUCCAUAGAAUUACAUUUUCUAUUCAGUCCUCCCUGUGGUAGCUCAGAUUACUGUGGAUAUGGGCACAGUCAUGAGGGCACACUGUAACAGAAUCAAUCAAUAGAGGAGUACAAUAGUUGGCAUCCAAACUUUGAAUAGUGAGUGGUAUGUUUCAUAGGUGUCCUGAGAUACACGGUGGACUGCUGCAGUUCCUUUUCUGUGGAGCCAAAACAGCAAUAACAAGCCAGAGAUGAACCCCUAUGAUUGAGGAGGAGAAAGUGGCAGGCAGUCCCUCCACCGAUAAUUCAAGUUUAAUCUGAGCUCUGCAGGCGUGCACACAAAGAGUGAGCUGUGCACCCCCAUAGAUUUACUCCCAGUAGUCUAAUGUUAGCAGGCAAACACACACACACACAUACACACACACACACAAACACAGGGAGCUCUAAGAGAAGUCUGGAUACAGCCAGAAUUACUCUCAUUUCCAAAGAAGUUAUCCCUGAUAAGGAAGGAACUGCAACAAGAUUGUGCCGACAUGCCGGGAGCUGAUACAAGCUGCUAUCAGACAACAUGAUAUAAAUCACAUUCAGCUUGAAAGAACUGUUGCAAAGUCUCAGAAAAGUGAAGGAAGGCAGCACAUACACACACACACAGAUGUGGUAAUAGUUACCAUGGAAACAUCAAUAAUUCUGACAGGCUUUAAUUCUGCGAUGAAGUUACAGGUCCGGGCAAAUUUAGAUAAAUAUGAGACGAAAUUAACAUAGAUUCAGUAGAUUAUUUAGACCACUGAAAAGUAAUUUUCUUUCCAUGAUUUUUUGUAUUAACCUAAAUAGAUGCAGCCUAAUAAUCAACUUCACUGUUUUCAUGGAUAAAAUGAUCAGAGUAAGACCUGUAUGCAUGUCUAUUGAGCAUUUUAGAAGAACAAAACCCAUCUGACUCCCUAAGUGUCGGUCCACUAGUCCUAAAUAGAAAAGAAACAGACCAUAAACUUCUUUCUAAUAAAUAUUUUUUCCCUGUAUGGCUCCAACUUAAGAACUGACAUUAAUAAAAACACUCCUCUUUAACCCAAAAUCAGAACCAGCUUUAUCUGUCAAGUGUGUGCACACACAAAACAAAAGGACAUACAUAUACUUUCUUUAUAACCUUGCCUGUAGAAGCCACAACAGGCAUGUUUUUUGUUGUGCGAUUGAAAUACAGAUGUGGAUAACAG
This 6663-nucleotide long non-coding RNA is filed under the name Xyrichtys novacula (pearly razorfish). The record is from RNAcentral. Lineage: Eukaryota; Metazoa; Chordata; Actinopteri; Labriformes; Labridae.